UGCUGUUUUCACGGGCUUCCUCCCUUUAGUGUGAGCUUAAGAAUGUAUUUGGUCAUGGAAAGCAGCUUAGUUCAAUUUCAGCGCUCUUGCUGUGUUCAGUUUUUCUGUUUUGAAUGUACGCCAGCACAUUUGAAUGAACAGCGAUGCCGGUUGGUCAUCCGGCGACCAGCAGCUCCUCUCUACGGGUUCCUACCCAGCCUGGGACGGCCGCGCUCAGGAGCCGACACCCGAACCUGCUGGACACCCUCCUGGCCCAUCUUGGUCCGGGCCAUCGUCAUCCCUAAGCGAGGAAUGGAGGGACGCCUGCAGACCCCGCAGACCCCCAGGAGCUGCAGCUCACCGGGACCUGCUGGGAAGUCCUGCUGGAGCUUGGAUGCGAGUGUGGCCGUGCUUCUGGUGACCCUGGUUGGAGCUUUAUUUCUGCUGAUGCUUUACAAACUCUUACAGCUGAGACACAGGCUGAGGUUGGCCGGGGCGAGGAACGCGCUGGAGUACCACAGCUUCCACCACUCCGCCACCUACACGCUCAGACACGCCGCGUUGUUUGAGGACCUGGCGAACAAGAAGGCCCCCGACCCCGAAGCCGCACCUGAGUCCAAUCAAACCGCUACCACGGUGACAUGCGCAGUCAUCAAACCACUUCCGCCCCCACUGCUGCAUUCUCCGCCCCCUCUGCCGCUGCCCCCACAUCCUUUCCCGCCGCCCCCGAUGCACCAGAAUCCUCCCACCCUCACCCUCACCCCUUCCGUCUUGGCCUUCGCUCUGCCCGCGAUCCACACCAACCCGCCAAGUCCUCACCUGUCGUGGGGCGCGUGCUCAGACGCAGAUGUGUACUCUCGGAUCGGAGCGUUCAGGCCCUCCAGGCUCUCCAGCCUCUCCAACCAAUCCAAAGUCAUCCUUUUCGAGCACUCGUCUCUCUGACUUUUGAGGCAGAACAUGACUGGAGACGUCGAAAAGACUUCAUAGCGAAUACCAAAAACACUGCUGACGCAUGUAUGCAUGCAUUAUGCUGUGUGCUCAUCUCUAAGUACUGCACCUUGUAUCAGGACGCUGCAAAAUUCAGGAGCAACACCACUGUUCUUAUGCUUUUUUUCUAUUGGGGAGUGGAGUUUUCUUCAGAAUUCGGACUAGUGGACGAACUGCAUGGAGGUUAUGUACUCAAAAUAUAUAUAUUUUCUCACUUGUUCUGGGGGUUGUAUUAAAAAGUUAUCGCUUACAUGCUCUGCUUGCUCAUCAUUGACAGCCUUACAACCUCCAGUAUUAUCUUUUCAACAUUUUGGUUUAUAGCAACUUUAAGAAGGCAAUGGCAGUGAUCUGUAAGGUUAAAGCAUGUCAAGGCCUCAUGUGCUACAACACCGACAGUGAUGCAGAAUCACAGCUAUUGCUCUUCUGCUGAAAGAUUCCCUUUAGCCCAAAAUCAGCGAGGAUCAUUCCUGAUGAAUGAGAAGUCUUGUGCAAGGAGAGGAGUGGUUUAAUUGGAUAGAUACUCACCAUCCUGAUGGCUUUUUUUUAUUGGGUCUGGAGCUUUCCUUAGAGUAGAUAAAAGCCCAGAAAUGGUUAUUGUGAGAAUGAGAGUGGGCAAAUUGACCCGACUUCUCUUAUCUAAUUACUUAUUUAAGAGUCAGUGAUGAAAGAUGAGUUGAUGAAUGAUGACACAAGCGUAGAGAAACCUUAUACAAAGUUCAUAUGGUGUAAACUUGGCCAAACUUUCUUACUUAAUUCAAUGCUCCGCAGUCAAUUAUAUUUUUGUGGGAAAGUCCUGAUGUUUGAAUUGUUGCAGAGUCCAUUGUUUGACUGAAUGGGGCAUUUCCUCAGUCAGUUUUCCAUGCACGUCCCUCCCUUUUUCACACUGUCCUCCAUUUCCUCUGAUUCUCUCACUGGAGCAGUCUAUCAGUGUCUUAUAUCAUGACUCAAAAGAGCUUUUUAUAUUCAAACAACUGCUCCAAUCUCAGACAUUAAUUUUAAAUAGUUCAUUCCUCUUUGUAACAGUUUAAGGAAGAUAGAAUUGUUGAAACUGCAACAUUUGAGUAGUGUAUCAUUGUUGACCAGACUAAGACAUAUUCAGAUCGUCCUCUAAAGCAGCCCAGCCGGCACAACGGUAACCUCUCUCCGUUCUGUUGAUCCGACAGCCUGAGCGUACACUAACAAGCUGUUAAAUUGCAUUUUUGUCUUUUUAACAAUGUUUUCCCAGCGAGCUUCUCAUUUAUAAUUCAACAAUAGUUUGUAAAUUCAUAAGGGACCUUGCUGUUACUUUCCGCUGAAAACCGAGACCUCGUGUGCCAUUCCUCCUCCUCUUCCUCCUCCUCCAGUCUCCUCUGUAUCAAAGUCCGUUAGCGAGGCCGCUGUCUCCUUACUAAAAGCCAGUUAAUCCAAUCUGUGCAUGUACCGCAGCAUUGUCUCUUAAUUGGUUGUAAGCUGAGCAGGAAAGGCAUUUCAACAACAUACAGCUCCUGCAAUUAAAGAAAACAAAAGGAAGAUGGAAGGGAUGAAAAUGAAUGUCUUUGCCCUGGUUGACUUUUCCAGUUUAUCCUCGGGAUGCUCGUCCAGCACACGUCUGUCCGAGCGGGGAGGAAGAAGCAGACGCAGAAGGGUUCUGUGUUCCAUAGAUUGUGGAUAAAUCCAGACGUGUUAUGGAUGUCAACGUUCUAAUCUGCUGUACCAGCCAUUCGAAGCAGUUCUACCUCAUCCGGAAUAAUUACACCUUACUAGAAAUGGAAAAAAACUCUCUGCUUCAGUCUAGUCAGAGGUAGCAGGACUUUGUUGAUCUGUUGAAUAUGGUGAGCUGAUGGUGCGGGCGGACGCUGGGUUCGGUGGUUUGUGUCACUCGAUUACAGCUGAUAACAGCGACAGUAUCAUUGCAAAAACGUAUAAAGCUGCACCCUUGGGUUCCCCCUCAGGUGAGCACUGUUAGCUCUAUCAGCACUUUUGCGGUUGAUUAAACUGUGCGGACGCGGCUGAGAGCGGCAUUUAGUAAACGCCGUGUCCUUGUUCCUGAAAUGAAAGUAACGUUGAACGGAUUUGUUUGAAAGUUGACACACUGCUGCCUCAUAAAUCUGAUCCUGACUGCCUAUCAAUGACUUUGUCCCAGAAGCACUUGACUCAAAUUGCAGAGUCUUGGUAAUUGCAUCUGCCCUCUUCUCAUCUCCUGAGAGGAAAUGGAAUUUUUUUUCCAAUUUUCCGUCAGUGUCGGGUCCCCUCCAUGCUUCCAAAACAACUUAUUGGCUUGUUGCUUAGUGCUGUGAAGUGGAGGCGAGCGUUUUGAAGCCUGGAGUUUGGUGACUUUGCCUUCCCCGUCCUGAAUUUCGUCCGUCACCAUGCUGUUAUUUUUAUAGCAACCACUGAAUGGAGUUUACUUUAUUCAGAAUGCUGAAUGGUGGCAUACAGGCGCCGUAUACGCCUCAGCUGUUCUCGUAUGUGACUUAUGGUCUAUUUUACUCUAAAUGGACAAUGAUGUACUCAAUGAACAUUGCGCUAUGUUGAAGCUUUGAAACUAGUAAUCGAGGCCAUAAACUCAUGUUUACAAUGUUUACUGAGAUCAGAAUUCAAGUGAGAAUUUGGGUUUAAAUUCUGAUUGACUUCAAUUAAAUCAGACUUCUUUUGCCAACGGAGGCGCGAAGGUUGAAACACAUGACAAAUGCGUAAAAUAACUGCUUGUGCUGAAAGGGAAUUCAACUUUUUUAGUUUGUUUUUGUUCCCACAUAUGUGGUUAUAUGCGGUCAGUGGAGUUGCUCAUAGAGACAUGUUUCAUAUUUAAUCAUACUUGAUCAAUUUACUAAAUAUGCACGGGCCGGUUAACUAAACAUCUCUCCUGAGGUUGUUUAUAGAAACGUAAAUUUACCAAAAAAUGUUCCAUAACUAAAUCCUAAAUGUAGUUUUGAUCGUCCUUGGCAAAGAAACAUAGUUCUGAACACAAAAUGAAAACACUUAUUGAGUGAGGACAUCUAGAAUUACUUUACCAAGUGACACAAUUUGCUGUUUUCAAUCGAUGUGUGCGUUUGGUAUUUUAAAGUGUUGUAAUGUUAUUUAAACCUUCAAAAUGUAAAGGAAUUGAACACAGUGGGUUACUGAACAAAUCUACUCUCGCAGAGAUACUCACUCGUCCAUCAUCAUUGUCCCACUACUACAUCAACAGUGUUUUGAUUAUAUAUUUUAUUCUUCUGCUUUUGUGUCUACACAUGUGAGGUUUUUAAACUGGAAUUGGACAGAUAAUUGUCAGCAAGAUGAGCAUGUUUAAGUCCCACCACAGUGUCCUAGAGGAACUAUAUUAUUUACAUCCAAGGUAGGGCUACUGUUCAUUGAGUACAUCAUGGUCCAUUUAGAGUAAAAUAGACCAUAAGUCACAUACAAGAACAGCUGAACCGUAUCCGUCUAAAACAUGACGUAACAAACCGUGACGGUAGUUUAGCCGCUCUUCACGCGUGCUCAGCAAAAUACUUUUAUAAUCAAUGGAAAUAAAGAAAUAGAUACUAAUUUGGCCAGAGACAGCACAAAUGUCGCUAAAGGCACAGCUCCAUCAACUUGGAUAUUAGUUCUUCUCUCAAGGCUUUAUAUAGGUUAAAUGUAUUUAACGUACAAAGAUAAAAGUAAGAAAGAGCUGAAGAUACCCCAGAAAAAUACCCCAAAACAAAUUUGAGUUUCUGGCGUGAGCUAUAGAGUUGGUACGUUGGCAGCAGAUGAACACAAACUGCAAAAAACACUCGUGGCACACGUGGCAAAAUGAUUGUGGUAAAAAAUAAAAGGGCAAAAUGUGCAAAAUGUGCUUCGCAACACAGGGGACCAGUAAUAAAGCUAAAGAUGUUAAGAUUGUGCUGAAUGUAGUGCGAGAGGAAAGGUUAUGAGGUUAUUAAAUCUGACCUUCAACUGCAAAAUGUAUGGAGUGGCCACAAUCCGCUGUGAUAUCUUUUUAUAAACGCGUUAAGUUGGCAGGUCCAAACAACAUUACUGUCCUGCUUUAGUAAGUCAAACAAAAACACACCCUCAAAUUUCCAGUAAAGCAUAUUUAGUGCUUGUUAGUGGAUAUUAGUAGGAGACAACAUGCCACUUGUCCCCGUAUGUAUGAACAGUAAAUAAACAUGGAAUGGAUGUGUGUCACACUAUUGUGGUUAUGAGCACAUGCAAGUGUUGAGAGUAGCAGCCUCUUGUGGCUACAGGGGAAGCAUUGCUGCAUGAAAGUAAAAAGUAAGUAAAACUAUUGUAAAGGAUAAUAAGUAUAAUAUAUAAAUUGUUGUCCUAUACUGUGCAAAAUAUACUUAAAAUGUCCUAUGGCUGUAUAAAACAAUAUGUUUGUGACAGGCUAAUGUUGGCUAAUAAAACAAAUGAAAUCCUGUGAUAUUGUUAUUUUUCAUGGGUAGCUUAGCUAAAUAACCCAGCUAAUUAUUUCUACGUAGUCAUUUGGCACUGAGGAUAUUUAUUUAAUUAUUUUUGUAUGCUUUUAUUUCGUUAAUUAUUAGCUUUACAUUUUGUCUGGGCAAGCGACUGACAAGCCCUGAAUAGUUUGGCAGCCAGCAAAACUUCAGAACUGUCAAUUGUUCAGGAAAACGUGACUCACUUCGAAUGCAGAGGGUCACGAAAAUUUUAAAAAAAGACAAUUUUCCGUUAAUUGAGUUUAUUUCCAAAAAUGUUUAUUCUCCUCAUGCAUUGAAUUUCUUUUCUUUUAAGCGCUAUUUAAAAUGAAUAAUUGUUUCAUUUUCAAACAGAACAAUCUGCAGCUCCUGGUCCUUCUGUUCCUUUGAGCUUGUUCACAAAAGCGAUGAAAAGGAAAAGACGAGGACGGCUUUUCUGGCUGCUCGGCUGUGAAAGCCCGUAUCUUAAUUCUUCUGACAGCAGCACCCCAUCGGCGCCUCCGCAAGGGAAACAUGACUGAAUAGUCCAAGAGUGUACGGAUGAAAAUGAAUCCACACUCUUAACCUCCUCCAAUAGACAGGCUGAUUACAGCCAAGUGCUCUCUGCGGCAGUCUCUCAGGGAAUGAGCCACGCAGCGUAACAGUGUGAGACGUUCAUAUGGUCCUGCACAUUCCACAGGUGAAAUGCUAAAUGCCUUAACAAGCAGGUGAUGUUGGUCCUCAAGCUGAUGUUUUGAGAAAUUGUGUUUUGAAAUAUCACUUUUCAAAAAGGACUAUUGGUGACUGUUGGUUUCGAAGUGUGACCGUACUACAAGAAAAUGUUGUUCAACUCAACUGACAUUUUUCUUCAAUGUCUUCAAUAAUUACUCUGUGAUAUCGACACGUUUGCACAUGCUCAGAGGUGUGAGCAGUCAGCACUUGAUAUAGUACUUUACUUUACUGUUAGCCAAAGUAUUUUACAGCCCAACAACAUAUUUUAUAAAUACUUAGCAGUUCAGUUACACUGUGGAAAUGGUGAUUUAAUUUGACAACUGAUGGUUUUCCAUCACACAUCCAUCCAUUUAGAUGACUGCCCUGCAACAGAAAACAAUACAUUACUUGUUAUUUAGGUGUCUGUUAUCUGACUGCUCAUGCUACUUGUCAUGUUUGGGACCGUACACAUGCUGUAAAGAUACCGAGGCCCGGACCUGUUUGUUUGGAUUAUGGUCCUUUAAUCAAUUAUUUAUUCAUUAUUUGUUUCAAUACAUUGUGUGUGUAUAAACUCCCUCCAGGUUAGACCAUCAAGUCCAAGAAAAGACAUUAAGACUUGAGUUCAUAAUCCUCUUUGUUGACUGCAGCACUGGUAAUGUGUCCGUAGAUCUCGGGAUCAAACACUUACUUUAACCAAUUACCUUUUAGGGGACAGGCCCUCAUUCCCUGAAGGAAAGCUUUGUUCAACUUCAUUAUAAAUCCUUGUGGACAUUUGUAUCUGUCUAAUUGCAGAUAUGUCAGGCUGGAUUUGGGGGAUAUGGCUUUGGAAUUGAUGCUCAAGAAAUACAGACAGCCUUGAAUUAAAACUUUUCUUUUAAAGUUUGCAUCAUAGCCUCAUUGAAGCAAGCUGAAAUAGAACAAAGGCGUGUGUGAUCCUGCCAGACGGAACUGAAAAGGAUCAGUCAAAAAAACCUUUUAGGGUUACUUAUUGGAAAAUAAAAGGAACUUUAAAAAAAAAGUUUGUGGCACUCUUUUCCAGAAAGGAUCACAGGACACGGACCCGCUGUGCAUUAGCAGUCGCUGCGUAACACUCCAAGCCGAAGAAGAAUGAAAAACACACCUGCUUAUUGUCUGCGGUAGCCAGCUGUGGGCCCCUCACACACACCUCUGUAUUCCUGCCUAGCAGCGGGCCUUUGAUCAGGUAAUUGCCCCUCCGGCCCCCGGAGUUUGCAUCCACCAUAUGUCGCUAUGGCGACCACCUCUCCAGCAGCUAUCCGCGCGCCCCCUUCACAACCUUUUUAAGAUGGACUUAUACGUUAUGAGCCUGUGAGUGAUGGAGGAAAAGGGCAAAUAAAUUACGCAACAAGAAGUACCUCAACCACGUCAACAGCAACCUUGUUUGGUGAAGGAAGAUUUUUUUUUUUCUUCUAUUCAACUGCCCGUCUGUUAUCCCACCCGGCAGACCCCCACCCCUAGAAUGAUAAAUGGC
Gasterosteus aculeatus aculeatus (three-spined stickleback) is the source of this 7521-nucleotide long non-coding RNA. Lineage: Eukaryota; Metazoa; Chordata; Actinopteri; Perciformes; Gasterosteidae. The record is from Ensembl.